AGCUGGAAUCGCUAGUAAUGGCAGGUCAGCAUACUGCCGUGAAUACGUCCCCGGGCCUUGUACACACCGCCCGUCACACCAUGAGAGUUGGGAAUACCCGAAGCCUGUGAGCUAACGUAAGAGGCAGCAGUCGAAGGUAGAAUCAAUGAUUGGGGUGAAGUCGUAACAAGGUAGC
This 175-nucleotide ribosomal RNA is filed under the name uncultured bacterium. RNAcentral describes it as "partial 16S ribosomal RNA". It matches the Rfam family "Bacterial small subunit ribosomal RNA", at positions 1324 to 1500 of the family's 1533-position model. The record is from RNAcentral.